Long non-coding RNA from Scylla paramamosain (green mud crab), 1487 nucleotides. RefSeq lists it as uncharacterized. The record is from RefSeq and is a predicted model, not a curated record. NCBI's taxonomy places the organism in Eukaryota, Metazoa, Arthropoda, Malacostraca, Decapoda, Portunidae. The transcript has 3 exons.
CCAGGUGUUGCUUACACAUGUCACAUGCCUUGCAGUGAUCUGCGUGGGAAACUUCAGUGUUUCUCCGCGUGCCAUAGCGGAGAGGGUGCAACUGUUGACAAUGUUAUGGAAAAAAAAAAAAAGAAAGAAAAGUGGGUGUUCACUGUGGGACAACAGAGACACGGCUUUUAUGUGAAGUGUGUGGGAGAUUGUACAAUAAACCACCUUGCCCUCAUGUGUGGAAGACCAGUGUGAUUUACACAAGCAGUGUGGUCUGUUUCCGCAUCCUCCACCAGAACAUACCUGCGAAGUUGGAGAUCCUGAUUCUUCUGACUCACCACAGCCAAGGAUGAGUAGAUUAUCAAAGAAUGUAUUAAAUUCUUCCGAGACUUCAAGUCCCCCGCUACCUACACAAGACACGUUACGAGCAGAAGCAGACCACGAUGAGCGUGGGCCACUGGAAGAACCGCACUUAAUUGAUUCGAGGGAAAAUUUUAUGAGGACCUUCACCAGACAUGAAUAUGACAUACCUGAACAUGUAAGCAGAGAUCCACUCGGUCUACUUACCUAAGACAGGGAGUUCUUUAUACAGUAAAUUAGAUUAUAUUUCAAGUCACAUGGUUCGCCAUUCCCUUCCACCCUGGAAAUAUUUUCACAUUUCUCUUUCACUAGUUAAAUUCUUAACCUUAGGCGAGGAUGAACAUCGAGUCAUUCAUAUUGGUUUUGGAGCACGUCUGAUCACCUAUCAAGAUGUGCCUGACCUUGUUGAUUUAUGGAUCCAUCAGCUGAACAGUCGGUUGGAAAGCCUUACCAGCGAGACUGAAGGAUCUGGUUUUAUCAUUUCAAGAGUAGAUAAUUUUUUUUCAUCAACUAUUGCUUGCAUGCCGCGUGCAAUGGCAUAGGAUAUUAUGUUGCAUAUCCUAGAGGCGUGCAAGGUAGGAAUGAAAUUUUCAUUCCUGAUAGCAGACAUUCAUCCUGCGUUAUUCAGUGUUUGGCAUCAUUGAGACUUCACGGCCGAGGAGAAGAAGGAGGAGGGGUAGUGUGGUUUAAUGUGUGGGUUGUGACGUGAUCGGCUGGGACUUUCCAUGAUAUUAUUAACGUCAUAAUUAGGGGAUAGAGAGGUUGCUAGCGUUGUUGUUGUACGUGUAAUGUAAGAACAAUUUUAUUGUCCACGAGGGUUAAGGAGUAGGAGGAGAAGUAGGAGCAGGAGGAGGAGGAGGAGGAGGAGGAGGUAAUGUAAGAACAUAUGUACCUAGGCUAAGGAGAAUGAAGAGGAGGAGAUAAUGUAGGAACAUCUGUACUUAGGCUAAGGAGAAUGAAGAGGAAGAGAUAAUGUAGGAACAAAUGUACUUAGGAAAAAGAGAAUGAAGAGGAGGUUGAGGAAGAGACGUGAAUCGGAAGAGAUCCACGUCAUAAUUAGAGGGUAGGGAUGAGGAUGCAGCUGGUAGGCUAGUUAUGCUGUUACCUACAGGACCAUGUAAAUAAAGGUUAAGCAAUAAAUACUGUGA